CCUACGGGAGGCAGCAGUAGGGAAUCUUCCACAAUGGGCGAAAGCCUGAUGGAGCAACGCCGCGUGGGUGAAGAAGGUCUUCGGAUCGUAAAACCCUGUUGUUAGAGAAGAAAGUGCGUGAGAGUAACUGUUCACGUUUCGACGGUAUCUAACCAGAAAGCCACGGCUAACUACGUGCCAGCAGCCGCGGUAAUACGUAGGUGGCAAGCGUUAUCCGGAUUUAUUGGGCGUAAAGGGAGUGUAGGCGGCUUAUCAAGUUAGAUGUGAAAUCCCGCGGCUUAACCGCGGAACUGCAUCUAAAACUGGUGAGCUGGAGUGCAGGAGAGGUGAGUGGAAUUCCUAGUGUAGCGGUGGAAUGCGUAGAUAUUAGGAGGAACACCAGAGGCGAAGGCGACUCACUGGACUGUAACUGACGCUGAGGCUCGAAAGCGUGGGGAGCAAACAGGAUUAGAUACCCUAGUAGUC
This 465-nucleotide ribosomal RNA is filed under the name uncultured bacterium. RNAcentral's name for it is "partial 16S ribosomal RNA". It matches the Rfam family "Bacterial small subunit ribosomal RNA", at positions 338 to 795 of the family's 1533-position model. The record is from RNAcentral.